GACGAACGCUGGCGGCGUGCUUAACACAUGCAAGUCGAACGGAAAGGCCCUUCGGGGUACUCGAGUGGCGAACGGGUGAGUAACACGUGGGUGAUCUGCCCUGCACUUUGGGAUAAGCCUGGGAAACUGGGUCUAAUACCGAAUACACCUCAUUGGCUGCAUGGUUGGUGGGGGAAAGCUUUUGCGGUGUGGGAUGGGCCCGCGGCCUAUCAGCUUGUUGGUGGGGUGAUGGCCUACCAAGGCGACGACGGGUAGCCGGCCUGAGAGGGUGACCGGCCACACUGGGACUGAGAUACGGCCCAGACUCCUACGGGAGGCAGCAGUGGGGAAUAUUGCACAAUGGGCGCAAGCCUGAUGCAGCGACGCCGCGUGAGGGAUGACGGCCUUCGGGUUGUAAACCUCUUUCGCCAGGGACGAAGCGCAAGUGACGGUACCUGGAGAAGAAGGACCGGCCAACUACGUGCCAGCCGCCGCGGUAACAC
Molecule: ribosomal RNA, 482 nt
Filed under: uncultured bacterium
Lineage: Bacteria
Description: bacterial SSU rRNA
Rfam family: Bacterial small subunit ribosomal RNA
Source: RNAcentral